Molecule: long non-coding RNA, 402 nt
Filed under: Elaeis guineensis (African oil palm)
Lineage: Eukaryota; Viridiplantae; Streptophyta; Magnoliopsida; Arecales; Arecaceae
Description: long non-coding RNA (EGUI_LNC032149)
Source: RNAcentral
UCCGCUACCACCCUUCCAUCGUCACCGCCGAUGUCCCUUCCAAUCUCCUCCCCAAGCUCUCCCUCUUCCAUUUUCUCCUCAGGCUACGGCGCUCGCACCCCACAUCCCACAUCUGAAUAGUUUUUUUUUUAAUCUCAUUUCAGUGGAAUGAGAUUUUGACUUUCUUGAAGUGAGGCCAGAUUCAGUUACGGAAAGGAAUGGAUCAUUCUCAUUCCUCCCUAGAAUGAGAAUCGGAAUGGAAUUCCCAAUAUUUGAAAUGAAAGCCAUCUAUUCCAAUUUCCAUUCCAAAUCUUAAUUACUCCAAACAAACUCUCCCUAAGUUUCUCAUCCAUAGGGAUGGGCCCCAUACAUUAUCGUGUCUAGACCUUGCAGGGGCAUGCAAAGAGAUUUAUCAGUCCCAGC